This 149-nucleotide ribosomal RNA is filed under the name Enterococcus faecium. Its description in RNAcentral is "partial 16S ribosomal RNA". It matches the Rfam family "Bacterial small subunit ribosomal RNA", at positions 1385 to 1533 of the family's 1533-position model. Lineage: Bacteria; Bacillati; Bacillota; Bacilli; Lactobacillales; Enterococcaceae. The record is from RNAcentral.
ACACACCGCCCGUCACACCACGAGAGUUUGUAACACCCGAAGUCGGUGAGGUAACCUUUUGGAGCCAGCCGCCUAAGGUGGGAUAGAUGAUUGGGGUGAAGUCGUAACAAGGUAGCCGUAUCGGAAGGUGCGGCUGGAUCACCUCCUUU